UAGAGUUUGAUCMUGGCUCAGGACGAACGCUGGCGGCGUGCCUAAUACAUGCAAGUCGAGCGGACCGAAUGAGAGCUUGCUCUURUUUGGUCAGCGGCGGACGGGUGAGUAACACGUGGGCAACCUGCCCGCAAGACCGGGAUAACUCCGGGAAACCGGAGCUAAUACCGGAUAACACCGAAGACCGCAUGGUCUUCGGUUGAAAGGCGGCCUUUGGCUGUCACUUGCGGAUGGGCCCGCGGCGCAUUAGCUAGUUGGUGAGGUAACGGCUCACCAAGGCGACGAUGCGUAGCCGGCCUGAGAGGGUGACCGGCCACACUGGGACUGAGACACGGCCCAGACUCCUACGGGAGGCAGCAGUAGGGAAUCUUCCGCAAUGGACGAAAGUCUGACGGAGCGACGCCGCGUGAGCGAAGAAGGCCUUCGGGUCGUAAAGCUCUGUUGUGAGGGACGAAGGAGCGCCGUUUGAACAAGGCGGCGCGGUGACGGUACCUCACGAGAAAGCCCCGGCUAACUACGUGCCAGCCGCCGCGGUAAUWCA
This 541-nucleotide ribosomal RNA is filed under the name Geobacillus sp. enrichment culture clone R_1017-3_OTU1. RNAcentral's name for it is "bacterial SSU rRNA". It matches the Rfam family "Bacterial small subunit ribosomal RNA", at positions 1 to 527 of the family's 1533-position model. The record is from RNAcentral. Lineage: Bacteria; Bacillati; Bacillota; Bacilli; Caryophanales; Anoxybacillaceae.